RNAcentral lists this transfer RNA (70 nucleotides) under Ovis aries (sheep). It matches the Rfam family "tRNA". Rfam says of the family: Transfer RNA (tRNA) molecules are approximately 80 nucleotides in length. The record is from Rfam by way of RNAcentral. Lineage: Eukaryota; Metazoa; Chordata; Mammalia; Artiodactyla; Bovidae.
UCCCUACUGGCUGUUAGUAAGGAAUCUGCCUACAAUGCAGGAGACCCAGGUUCAAUCCCUGGGUCAGGAA